Molecule: long non-coding RNA, 208 nt
Filed under: Lathyrus oleraceus (garden pea)
Lineage: Eukaryota; Viridiplantae; Streptophyta; Magnoliopsida; Fabales; Fabaceae
Description: Pisum sativum (pea) long non-coding RNA (PSAT_LNC011772)
Source: RNAcentral
AAAAUACACAAUCGAUAUAUAGAAACUUGAGCGGCAUAACGACAUAAAGUUUCCAAAUCCACGGGUUUAAUUUGAUUUAACGGAAUAAAAUUGAACAAUAACAAAUUGAUAUUAUUUAAUGCUACAAACUUACAGAUUAUUUACAAAGCAUCAAAUGACUAACAUCCCAAGGAUCCACCACUCAUAACCUCAUUUGAUCUUGAAUAAU